Molecule: long non-coding RNA, 410 nt
Filed under: Apteryx owenii (little spotted kiwi)
Lineage: Eukaryota; Metazoa; Chordata; Aves; Apterygiformes; Apterygidae
Description: lncRNA (ENSAOWG00000006440.1)
Source: RNAcentral
CAGAGUAUUUCUUUGCAGCACCUUCUCAACUGCUGAUGGAGGACUGGCUGCAAUCACUACAGAAUAAUAUAGGACACAGUAACAGACCAGACUCCAGGGCAAAGGUGCAGCCUUUCGUUCCAAACACAGAGACCUCUCAGACAAGAUUGUGGGGCUUUCCAGAAAGAGACUGCUGAAAGACUAACCAUCAAAAGCUCGCUCCUGAGGAGAACACCUUCCUUCAAAAUCAAACCGGAAAAAGAGCCUGCAGAAUUUUCCAGAGAUUUUAAGGAAGACGGGACUGCAGUAACACAAGCCUCCAUCACCACACUGAGACAGAACAAAGUGGUAAUAAAAAAAAUCUGCCUCCAUCUCUGCUAGAAGCAGGAAGAGAAAAAUGACAUUUGCCCCAAUGAAUAUCAGACCCUUCA